GACGAACGCUGGCGGCGUGCCUAACACAUGCAAGUCGAGCGGAGACAAGAAAUUAGCUUGCUAAGAUCUUGUUUUAGCGGCGGACGGGUGAGUAACGCGUGAGCAACCUUUCUCUCAGUGGGGAAUAACACAGCGAAAGUUGUACUAAUACCGCAUGAGACCACAGCACUGCAUGGUGCAGGGGUCAAAGAUUUAUGUGCUGAAAGAUGGUCUCGCGUCUGAUUAGCUGGAUGGCGGGGUAACGGCCCACCAUGGCGACGAUCAGUAGCCGGUCUGAGAGGAUGAACGGCCACAUUGGGACUGAGAUACGGCCAG
Molecule: ribosomal RNA, 315 nt
Filed under: uncultured bacterium
Lineage: Bacteria
Description: bacterial SSU rRNA
Rfam family: Bacterial small subunit ribosomal RNA
Source: RNAcentral